UACACACAUACACACACAAUAUAAAAUUAUAAUAUAAUAGAGAGCAGUAACAAUUUCUCGAUAUAUUCUGAAGUUUUCAAAGCUACUUGGAGACAAUGUAAUUACAAUCGAAUUAGAUAUCAUAAUUAUACGUAUGUUACACGUGACUAUGAAUUAUGUACACAAAGAUAUGAUAAGAUUUAUUAUUGAAAUUUACAACAGCUAAUUAUCGAUAGAAUUCGAUUUUCGACUUCGCAAAAAAUCAAAUCAAUUAAAAUUAAUAAACAACGAGAGAGAAACAGGAACAAGAAAACCUAAUAUUAUUGUAGUUGACUAUCAUUCAUCGUAAAAGUGCAGAGUAAAUUGAAUUGGAAUUAAAAAUUAAGAUCAAUUGUUCUGAAAAGUUUGUCGAUGGAAUUCGCUGUCACCUUGUAUAAGCAGGAAAGUUGCAUUCCGCGUUUAGCAAGCGGGCCAAGAACAACACGGCGAAGAGUGACACAGAGCGCGUGUGCAAUGACACAGAUCCGCGUCUCCGAACCUCUUCCCUUUCUUCAAUCUCCUCCUCGUCAAUCUCUUUACAAACUAGGCCGGUGCAUCUACGCGAGAUAGAGGCCGCGUAAAUUUGAAGCCCGUGGCUUCCUCAGAAUUUUAUCUCCACGAAUUUUUCAAUGAUUUUUUCAUCCCAUUUUGUAUUUCAACUCUACAUUUUCACAUGUAAGAGACUCGCUGCAGAUUCGCAAUGGUAUUUGAAUAUAGAAUAUUUUUGAAUCCGAUUAAAAUGAGCUCUUACAUUGAAAGAGGCAGUUUGCGCUUCGACAGAACCUCGCUAGCUUACAUUUUCAACGAAUACAACUACUACAACUCUUAGUUUCGUAGAAGCAUUCGAACGGGUUACGUCAUCAAGCGUGAGAACCGUCCGUGAUCCUUCUAGGACCCCAGAAUAGGAUCCCUUCCUCCUUACGGCAAGAGGGCCGGCCGAUAGAAAUCGGCUUCGUGGGUAGGCGGGUGCGAACCGUUCGAGGGGCGAGGGAGGAGCACGCAGAAUGGUAUUUCCGUUGCGUUGUAUCGCUUGUCCAUUUGGCAGGCUUCAGGUUUGGCCAGGAGCAUGCGCACAACGUGCGUCCACCUACCCGCUCAUCUACCUGCCUACUAAUCCGUCUGCCUGUUUACCGGUUUGCCUUGAUCCCCUGAAUAAUCAGUAGGUGGGUUGGUAAGUAAGUAGGUACGACUCUCUUACGUAAGCUUAUACCGCCGCAUAUAUGCCUGAUCAGCAAGAAUGAAAGACGAACAGAGAGAGAAAGAGAGAGAGAGAGAAAUAGGAAGACAUAGCAAGAGGACGAAUGAGAAUGAGUUUCUCAACGAUCACUUUAUAAUCCAGGUACGGCACAUGAUGCGGCAAGACGAUGCGAUAUCGAGGCCAACGAGUAAAAUUAGAUAGCGAGGAUGGAAUCCGAGCGCCGGUAUGCGAAAUGGAAACGGAAACGGCUUCGGUCGCUUAUACGAAAGAUGGCCGCAAUGCGAUGCCGCGCAAGAAAAUGGCGCUUUAGCAUCCGUAAAUGGUCGGUUGCGCAUAUCUCACGCUCCCUCGCGUGACAGAGCGAAAUAUUAUAGCACGCGCUAUAUUUUUUUUUUCCUCUUUUAUCGUCAAACAAAUUAAAAUCGGAAUAUAAAUUCAAAAUUCGUUGAUAUCCAAGGAAUUUUAUUCAACUUUUCCCUCAUUAACGCGCGAAUAGACACAAUGCGGCCGACAUGAGAUUUCAUAACGAGUUGUUAGAUUAUCGAAACUACAAUCUGUCGAUAAUCCUUGCGCGCGAGUAAAAACGAAGCAGCACAAGGCAAACCGGUUCCAUUUUUCUCUCCUCCGCGAAAGACACAUGUACAUACGCCUCACUCCUCUUCCGGCUAUUUUUUCCUCGAUAGCCAUAUUCCAAAUUCUAUCUCACCCGUUAAAUUCUGCCAGAUCAGCCAUUUACGUUACGACACGCGCGUAAAAACGAAACGAUAAAAGCUUCUUUGUGACUAACUUUCGAACAGAUUUCGUCAAUUAUGUAUUACGAGUAAAUGGAGUUUAACCACAUAUACCCGUACAUACAAAUGGACACACGAUUGCGUUGCAUAACAUAUAUUUAAAUACUGGCCAAGGCAUUACCACAAAUACUAUUUGCUUGAACGUAAAGCAACAUGCGUGUGCGCGCGUGUGUAGUUGGCUAUACACUGAGUUUUCCACAAAUAACUUAAAAAGUAUACUCCAGAAAAUAUUCAAGAAAAAGAAACGGUAAGGAUAUAUGAACGAUAUUAUUAUAUUUAUUGUUUUAUAAUAUUUAUUAAUUUCUUAUUGAUUUAUAACGAAAUGUCGUUCUUGAUUACAUUGUUGAGCAAUUUAGAAAGUAUUUAUAGUUGUUACGAUAUAUCUUAUAUAUCGUCUAUAAUUGCUUAUUUAGAAAGUGCGUUUAAAAAUUUUUAUAGCGACGCAGAUAAACUUAUAUGAUGAUUUAUGUUUAAAUAAUUGUCAUCUGUUCUCGUGUGAUUAACCAUAUCUAGCAUUACUCAUUACCGAUUACUCAUUAUCAAUCGUAAAAUUAUACUAAAAACAAUGUAUGAACAGGCUCGCAAUAUUAGUUAGUUAGUCGAUGCUAUAACUAAGAUUUUAUACAUUAUCGAUUCUAAGUCUUGGCCUUAUAGGUACGAAAAAAAAGAUUAGCAUGCCUUGUGUGAAAAUACCAAGUUAUAAAUAAAUAUACGAGUUGCGGGCAAUUAAUAUACAUGCAUGGAUACAAAUAUUUUCGAAUUAAAUAAAAAAAAUGUCUAAUGAAAUCACAGAUUUUAUUAAGAAUGUAAUUAUGCAGAGCCGACUUUUGCAGUUUGUUUAAGUUAUGAAAUCUAUUUAGUUUAUAACAUACAAAAAAUAAUAAUUAUAUCAAAAAGAAUAUAUAAAAUUUUUAUUUUUUUAUAUAAUUUUUCUUGUGUGAAGUACAGAUGAAGUACACAUUAUAUGGAAUACAAUAAUGAUUAUAAAAAUAGAAUAAAUAUGGUAGUAUAACUUUUAAAACGUGCCCUAAUUAUAAAUGAAGAGAGAAUUACGCGAGCUUAAAUAAUGAAGAAAACAAAUUUAACUUAUAAAUUAAAUUAAGUAUUCAUUAAACUUAUAAAUACACCAUGCAUGUAUUAAGAACGUAAAACAGGUAGCAAAAGAAAGGAAAAUACUGAUAAUUCUUUUCAAGAUUUCUUAAUCACCGCGCGUAGCAAUAAAAAAAAAAAAAAA
Molecule: long non-coding RNA, 3241 nt
Organism: Formica exsecta
Lineage: Eukaryota; Metazoa; Arthropoda; Insecta; Hymenoptera; Formicidae
Exons: 2
Source: RefSeq, a predicted model, not a curated record